GAGUUUGAUCCUGGCUCAGGAUGAAGUUGGCGGCGUGCCUAACACAUGCAAGUCGAACGAAGGUAUAUAUAGGAAGUCUUCGGAUGGAAUAUGUAUAACUUAGUGGCGGACGGGUGAGUAACGCGUAAGUAAUCAACCUGUGACACACGGAUAACUGAUAGAAAUGUCAGCUAAUACGAGAUGAACUGUUUAAAUUGGGAAAUGGAAACAGCAAAGCGAAAGCGGUCACGGACGAGCUUGCGUCUGAUUAGCUAGUUGGUGGGGUAAGAGCCUACCAAGGCGACGAUCAGUAGCCGGCCUGAGAGGGUGAACGGCCACAUUGGAACUGAGACACGGUCCAAACUCCUACGGGAGGCAGCAGUGGGGGAUAUUGCACAAUGGGGGGAACCCUGAUGCAGCAACGCCGCGUGAGUGAAGAAGGCCCUAGGGUCGUAAAGCUCUGUCGUAUGGGAAGAAACAAAUGACUGUACCAUACAAGAAAGCCCCGGCUAACUACGUGCCAGCAGCCGCGGUAAUACGUAGGGGGCAAGCGUUAUCCGGAAUUACUGGGCGUAAAGGGUGCGUAGGCGGCUAGUUAAGUCGAGGUUAAAAGGCAGUAGCUCAACUACUGUUUGGGCCUUGAAA
Molecule: ribosomal RNA, 624 nt
Filed under: uncultured bacterium
Lineage: Bacteria
Description: bacterial SSU rRNA
Rfam family: Bacterial small subunit ribosomal RNA
Source: RNAcentral